GCACUUACUUCAGCAGAACAUAUAGUAAAAUUGCAAUGAUACAGAGAUUACCUUGACCCUGCUCAAGGAUGCCACACAGAUUUGUGGAGCAUUGCAUAUUUUU
This is a small nuclear RNA of Jaculus jaculus (lesser Egyptian jerboa), 103 nucleotides long. Lineage: Eukaryota; Metazoa; Chordata; Mammalia; Rodentia; Dipodidae. The record is from Ensembl.